GAACGAACACGAAAGACAGUCGUCUUUGGGAAUGCCGAUGUUGAUCGGAGGGUAAUAAAUAGCUCGAACGGUAACGGGAAAUGGGGAGUGAAUUAAUGCGGAGAACAAUAACAAUAAUUAAAUAAAAAUAAUU
Ipomoea nil (Japanese morning glory) is the source of this 133-nucleotide long non-coding RNA. RefSeq lists it as uncharacterized. The transcript has 3 exons. Lineage: Eukaryota; Viridiplantae; Streptophyta; Magnoliopsida; Solanales; Convolvulaceae. The record is from RefSeq and is a predicted model, not a curated record.